UACGGGGGGGGCAAGCGUUGUUCGGAAUUACUGGGCGUAAAGGGCGUGUAGGCGGCCUAGCAAGUCAGCUGUGAAAGCCCCAGGCUCAACCUGGGAAUUGCAUCUGAAACUGCCGGGCUAGAGUUCAGGAGAGGAGGGCGGAACUCCCAGUGUAGCGGUGAAAUGCGUAGAUAUUGGGAGGAACACCGGUGGCGAAGGCGGCUCUCUGGACUGAAACUGACGCUGAGGCGCGAAAGCCAGGGGAGCGAAC
This 250-nucleotide ribosomal RNA is filed under the name uncultured bacterium. RNAcentral describes it as "partial 16S ribosomal RNA". It matches the Rfam family "Bacterial small subunit ribosomal RNA", at positions 524 to 773 of the family's 1533-position model. The record is from RNAcentral.